CCAAUAGCGUAUAUUAAAGUUGUUGUGGUUAAAAAGCUCGUAGUUGAACCUUGGGCCUGGCUGGCCGGUCCGCCUCACCGCGUGUACUGGUCCGGCCGGGCCUUUCCCUCUGUGGAACCCUAUGCCCUUCACUGGGUGUAGCGGGGAAACAGGACUUUUACUUUGAAAAAAUUAGAGUGCUCCAGGCAGGCCUUUGCUCGAAUACAUUAGCAUGGAAUAAUAAAAUAGGACGUGUGGUUCUAUUUUGUUGGUUUCUAGGACCGCCGUAAUGAUUAAUAGGGACAGUCGGGGGCAUCAGUAUUCAAUUGUCAGAGGUGAAAUUCUUGGAUUUAUUGAAGACUAACUACUGCGAAAGCAUUUGCCAAGGAUGUUUUCAUUAAUCAGGAACGAAAGUUAGGGGAUCGAAGACGAUCAGAUACCGUCGUAGUCUUAACCAUAAACUAUGCCGACUAGGGAUCGGACGAUGUUAAAAAUUGACUCGUUCGGCACCUUACG
This 495-nucleotide ribosomal RNA is filed under the name uncultured Glomeromycotina. RNAcentral's name for it is "partial small subunit ribosomal RNA". It matches the Rfam family "Eukaryotic small subunit ribosomal RNA", at positions 591 to 1092 of the family's 1831-position model. Lineage: Eukaryota; Fungi; Glomeromycota. The record is from RNAcentral.